AUGCAACGCGAGGGCCCUUACCUAUGCAAGACAUCGAGCGGACUUGCACGGAGCAUGGUUUGCUUCCUGCGGGAACGGUGAGACGGGUGCUGCAUGGCUGUCGUAAGCUGGGGUUGUGAAUGUUUGGGAUAAGUGCCUGAGGGACGGGGACCUUUUUCCUACUGAACCACUGUUUCUGCCGGGAACUUACAGUAUUACUGCACAGUGAUAAACUGGAGGAAGGUGGGGAUGACGUCAAGUCAUCAUGGCCCUUACGAGUAGGGCUACACACGUGCUACAUAUGGCGUAUACAAGAGAGAAGCGUAAUCCCUCGCGAGAGCAAGCUAUCUCUUCAUAAAGUACGAUCAUAGUCCAGACCCGAAUCUGAAACUCAGACCCGACUGAUAGUCCUGGAAUCGGUGGGGAUUGGGGAUCAGAAUUGCUACGGUGAAUACGUUCCCGGGCCUUGUACACACCGCCCGUCACAUAAUGGGAGUGGCCUUCUAAAGAUGUAUUUAGCUUUGGAUGAAAGGGAAGGAGCUGGUUACCCAUUUCUGUUUUCCACACGU
Molecule: ribosomal RNA, 548 nt
Filed under: Gibbsiella quercinecans
Lineage: Bacteria; Pseudomonadati; Pseudomonadota; Gammaproteobacteria; Enterobacterales; Yersiniaceae
Description: bacterial SSU rRNA
Rfam family: Bacterial small subunit ribosomal RNA
Source: RNAcentral